GGCGCCGUUUCUCGCCUGAGUUCUCGACGCUGAACGCUCCUUAAGGACUGCCGAACCCGGGACUGGAGUGUGAGCACCCCAGGGGCUGUCCUGAAGGGGCUUGGAGGCUAGCGGAGCAAAGGACUUUGCCUACAAGCCGAGAGUCCCGUGGAGACAGGAAAAGGAAACGCUCCCGUGUCCUCUCACCCUGUUGUUUCCAGCCUGUGAUGCCCGUCAUUGUAAACAUUUGCUGUGAGCCCUCACAUACCCAUCUGGUGGCACUGGUUUGCUCAGUAAUGACGUUCACCCACAGACCAGAAAAAUUCUCAAGGAGUUGAGAAGCUGUGUGACAUCAUUUUUCCAGCUGAUGUGGAAACUGACGCACAGGAUGGUUAAAAACUGCCCCCAAAUCACAUAACUGUCAAGUGAUAGACCUGGGACUGGAGCUCAGGAGCAGAAAGUUAAUGGAAGGAGCCAGUGUUUCCAGAAGAAACUGUGUUGUUCUAAAGGGAAAUUAGAAAAGAGGAAGGUGACCCCUGAGUAAAGAAGAAUCUAUUUCACUUGAAGACCCUCCCCCAGGGAUCCUUGGCAGAAAGAAAGUUGGCUUUCCUGCUGCUCCAGUGAUUGAUAAGUUAUACCUCUGUCCAUGGUCCUAUUCCUCUGACUCAAACAACUUUAGAAGAAUUCGGAGGGAAGAGCACAGAUGUAUUCUACAUAGAACUGAGAAGCUGAGAGAAGAGGAAAUAUUGUGGGUUCCAGCAGGUCUUGGUACUUGGAAAAAAGUUCUGACUGUCUGCAGUAGACGCCAUCAGCAGAAGGGGAUCCUGCUGGACAGCCUUCUUUGUGUUCAUGAUGAACAGAAUUUAUUGGUGGAGGGAGCUUCACUUGAGUCUCAGUUGCUGAGACCUGGUUGGAUUUCAAGAAGAGGAAAACCCAGAUGUUCUUGGAAGAAGAGAAAAAUACUUAGCAUCUGAAAUUUUCUGCCUUUUUCUGAGAUUUUCACAUUUCUGCACAUGUUCUUCCUAAAGGCUGAAACCAUUUCCACUCCCUUCACCAGAAAACCAGAUUUUUCAUCAGGCUGUCCUCCAGGUUGCCAAGGAAAUAUUGGCUUUCUUCCACCUAUUUGACCUGUAUUUUCUCAAUGUAAGUUGGGUAUGACUCUCACAGUGUAAUUGGGCACCAUGGACCAAUAAAAUCUCCAGUGUUUUUAAGCCAAAUGGUUCAGCCUCUUUGCAUUCCUCAUGGACCUUAAUGGAUAAUGUUUACUUGAGAUGAGGGUUCUGGAUCAGUAACAAAUUAAAAAAUAGUUGAUUUCUUUAGGAGUGAUAGGAUUAGGAAUAAGUAAUUUCUUUUCUUUUUUGCAUCAUGCUGUAAUGUGAUUUGUGCUCUAUCUACCCAUCUAUCACAAGUUUAAAAAAGUAGAACAAUUCUCAUCUUUGGAUGAGAUGGAUCUCAUCACUGGAUCAAGGUCAGGCUGGAUGAUUAUCAGGUAUGCUCUAGAAGAGACACAUUUAAAGAAAACUUGGCUAAGAUGACCUCUCAAAUUCCUUUCACCUUUAAAUUCUGUGCUCUGAAGUUUACCCUCCAACCUUAUGGUGGUGAUGCUCAUAUUCGAAGGACAAGAAUCCCUUCUGUAUACCUUCUUUACUUUGUCUUAAAACUGCAGUUUUUGUGAGAGUGGCAGCUCUGAUAAUUUAAUGGGAAAUCAGAGUGUGUGGGAAAAUAUUCCUAGGAGACUCAGAGCUGUCCAGCAGUGGAAGGACCUGCCCACACUCCAUAUAACUGAAAAGACUUAACAGCAGUUUGGAGCAGGGAUUCAGCAAGGCCACUCUUGACCAGGAGAGGAGUGAGUGUGUAUGAGUACAUGACGUAGAUGAAUAUGCUUACCCAAUCCCAUCUCAAGGAUAUCUUUCCUGCUUUCUGUAUUGUUUUUCAUUUUAAAUGAAGUCAAUGGUCUUUUAAAUCGUGUAGGAAAAGAGAAAGUAUAAUGUACAGAGAGAGAUAGAACAAGAGUUGAAGAGGAAGGAAGGCAAAAAUAGGACUAUUACACUGUACAAGCAGUCUUUCAGCUUGUUAAUUUCAAGCUAUUUAACCAAAUACACACACACACUCUCUCUCUUUCCCUGUGUAAACAUGCCCUAUAAGGAGGUAAGUUCAAGUCUAUAACAGCUUCAUUAUUUAUAUUUUAUAGUCAGUAAUAUAGUCCUUGUAGCACACCAUUUGAAAAAAAUGAAUGUGUCACGUAGUAGCUUACAAAGGCUACCCGGACUGUAUAACUAAAAAAGUUAAAAAUAAAGUUAAUUUUGCCUUAAAAGGUUGCUCAGUCUUUUUCCCUUUGCAAGUGGCAGAUGCAUUGACUUUGAUGAAUGCCCACUUGAUUGAGGUGCUAAAUAAUGAUAUUAAAAUCCUUAAGCAUGUUUAUAAUUUUUUUUAUACAUGGCUUGAUACCUAGCCUUCUUUUUCUUAUAUUUUCUUCUGAAAGGCAGAAUCAGUGUUUCCACAGAUGUCCUAGAUUUGAGAAGAAGAAUGAACUUUGGGGAACAUCUCACCCAGCUCCCUUAUGCUAGGCAAUUAAUUUUUUAAAAAUCCAAUUUUAUAGGUAAAACAACCAAAUACGGAGAGGCCAAUUGCUGGAUAAUAAUUUUUAGUUAUUUUAAAUUUUUUAUAGUAAUGCAUAUUCACUGUAGAAAAUUUGAGAAAUGCAACAAUACACACACACACAACCAAAACUAUCCUGGCAUUAACUUGUUAACAUUCUGAUGUAUAGCCUCCUAUGUAUGAGGUCGCAUAUGUAUGGUCACAUACAUACUUUAUGCGCAACAUUUCUUUGAGAAAAAAAAGAAAAGGCAAAGUGAAAGAGCUGUUGGUCCAUCUGGUCCAAAUGUGGAAUCAUUGUCUGCAUAUUUUAGCCAUCUUUUAUUUGUUUCCUCUACCCUUAGGCCUAAUCUGACAAUAGAUUGUAAAAGAGGUGCCGGGUUUCCUAUUUAGAAGAUAGUACUAGGAUCGUAGGCAAUUCCUUACCUUUCUUUUCCUGAAUAGUGACCCAAGAAAUUGUAAAGGAAAUGUGAUACUGCAAAAAUGGCUUUAUUUUUGUGAGGUAACAGUGGAGGUCCCCAUGUUGACAGCUGCAAAGGUAGUCACAUGCUUAACAGAGCAAUGAGCCCUACAAAGGAAGAAGUUAACUUUAGCUUUGAAAAUCCUUUUAUCCUCCAUGAUUUUGAUGGUUUCAAAUUUGUCACCUGAAUGCGAUAUUAACAUAAUCGUCUGCAUUUUAGUUAAUGAAUGCACCUGCUUCUAAGUCUUUAUUUUAGCAAUUUUAAUGAGCUCUUCAAAAGAGUUUGCCUGGAUUUACUUCACUGCUAGAGAAAUGGCAGCUGUAAGCGACUAGCAACACAUUCAGCAUUUGAAUCAAGCUCUGUGAAGCUGUUAAACUCGAGGAGUAUCUAUCCAUCUGUCUGUGAUAAGGGAAAGGGAAACAAAACUGAGAUGUAGUUGUGACAUUUGGAAAAAGCACUAGAGUAAGUGGAGCUGGUCAGAGACGGUACUCCCUGCUUGGCCGUAAUGUAUGGAUCCCAGGCAGUUCAUUUAAACUGUCUAAAGCCAGUUUCUCAUCUAUAUAAUAAUAGUACCUAUCUCAUAAGCUUGUUGUAAGGGAUUAAAUGCCUCACCUGUUGAAAGCACUCAAUAGUGUUUAAUUUUAUUAUAGUUAUGUUUAUUAAGUAGAUGUGCCUUUAGACAGAUCAAAUUCUGUUUGGCUGUAAGUUGUAAGGUGGAUCUUAGGUGAAUAAUUGCUCAUUGAGCUGUAUAGUAAGAAAAAAACCAAACUGAUCUCUUUUACUUAAGUAAUCAGGAAGUCUAUUUCAGUGCUGAAUCAUACUUUAACCCCACAGUGAAGAUGAUUGAAAUGGAAGGUGUCAACCAAUCCCGUACCCUAUUUAGAAUGUCUAAAUCUUAUGUAGAUAUUAGGAUACUGGGAUAGUUAUUUACUUUUAAUAUCUAUUUUAAUACUUUUUAUUAUAUUAUAAAUGCAUUUCAUUGUUUAUUAUACUCUGAUUUCAACAUCGCUUUUCAUGCUGGUGAUCCUUCUCCUUUUUUUCCAUAUGCUCUUCUGUAUACUUUAAUUUGAAAAGUAGUAAUAACCCAUCCAAUGCUGAAUUGAUUGGAAAAUGAAAAAUAGGACAAAUGUUGCUUUAAAAUACACACGCAGAUACAUUGCAGAUCAAUCAGAGGUAACACCCUGGAAUAAAGAUGCCACAGAUUCUCUCUCAGUAAAAUAGGUAGCAUAACGGUGAGAUAGCUGUUAAGAAAAAGGAAAAUUCUCUAGUUCUCCUUUUAUUUUUUUCAAUAAAGUUGAGACCAUUAUUCUGGCUGAGAUGCAAAUAAUUUAUUUUCUGGAUUCCUUUUCCCCUUUAUACCAUUCUGGCCAACAGUCUUGCCUCAAUAACGGGGACUAGUUCCUUGGUGUUUCACCCCACGUGCCACAGUGCUGGAGAACUACCGGACAAGAUCAGUUUAGGAAUCUCCACCAACUUGUUACAGGGGUUUCUCUAGGAAGUCAUUGCAUUCUAGAAACCACCAACUCAAAUCUACUGGAGUAGGCAGGCUUCUGGUAACUGCUUGCAUCCCCACGUUUCGAAAGAUCCACUUUAUCCAGAUUUGCAAGAGGCAUCUUUACAGAAGACAUUCAGUUCUGCUCUUACACCUUAGCUUAGGAAACGAAUAACCCCAAGGGAGCUCACCUCUAGCUGCCCUUUGACUAUGUUUUGCUAUUGAAGGCAAGCUGACCUCAUAAUGAUGAGGUUUAUGUUGUUUAUGGCCUGACUGCUCACAGCGUGAUCCUCAGAAGGGCAGCAUCAGUGUCACCUGGGAGCCAGUUAGAAACAGAGUCUCAGGCCCCACCCCAGACCUACCAACCAGAAUCUGCAGUUAAGAUUCCUAGGUGAUCCAUAUGCAUAUUUAUGUUUAAGAAGUAGUAGUCCAAGGGAUCUGCCUGAGACAGCUUUUUCCAGCAACAGAAUUUCACCAUCUCCUGUUCCAAAAUUGUAUCCGUCCACUUUCCACUGCCAGUCUCUACACAGAUUUCUGCAGUGCUCCAGGGCAAAUUAUCUUUUAUUUUAGAUGAGCUCCCAACCAGUGGGUCUUGUAGUGAUCUGCAUUUCUAUGGUUCGGGUGUUCAACGUGACAGCCUCCCACUAGCCAAACCAUACCCAUUCCCCCCAAGUCAUCUUGCCCUCCUUAUUCCCACAGCUAUAGUGUUAACCAUGUUCAUAAAUUAUUGUUAAAGAAGGAAAUUACCAAAAGAAAAAAAAUUGUCUCUAUAAACCUGCAUAGUUUAGAGCUAAAGAAUAUGUUAAAAUUUUCCAUCGUGGAAAUUUCCCAGCUACUGGGCUCUUUAGAUUUUUUUUUUUUUCAGAGCUGCAAGCAAAGAAUGGAAAUUUCCAAUUGCAGCAUCAAGGGCUGCUGUUCUGCUGACUGUCUUGCUCAGCCGGGGUCAUCUGCUUCUCUAAGACAUCAAGGAAUGCCAAGAUUUUUGAGGGAUUCUGAAUGACUCUAAGGAGCCAGGACUACCUGUUUACUCUCUUCUUACUGACAGUCCAUGGUACUAGGAAAAGAACAGUUAAGGAGGAUUUCUGACAUCACCAUUGCUAUUUGUACUUAACAUAUUUAUUGAGGCUAGUUUGCUAAUAAUGAAGAUAUUCCAGGAAAAAAAAUCAUCACAUGGCUGGAUUUCAUCCUGGUCAAUAAUUAACUGUGAGACUUAUUCAGGAAAGCAUGGAUUGCUUGGCUAGAAGACUUCAGAAACAUUCAGUUGACCAUAUUCUUGGACACCAGCAAGCACAUUUUUCAAGGCUUGGGGGCUGAAAUGAGGCCAACCUCUUUCACAAUCAAUACUAAAGGAAAAAUACUUAAGAAGAGGAGGAAGUGGUGAAUUUUAAAUGUAUUAAUUUAUUUAUUUUCUUCCUAUGA
Molecule: long non-coding RNA, 5946 nt
Organism: Manis pentadactyla (Chinese pangolin)
Lineage: Eukaryota; Metazoa; Chordata; Mammalia; Pholidota; Manidae
Exons: 10
Source: RefSeq, a predicted model, not a curated record